AAAUCAAUUACUAUUUAGCAAUUGAUUUAAGAAUCAAUUAUUAAAUUAAAUAAUUAUUUUAAUUAAUUCUAAAAUUUAAAAUCGAUCGUUAGUAGCAAUCAAUUUGUGAAUCGGUUAGUAAAAUUAGUUAUUAUUAACAACCCAUUGGCGAAUCGAUUAUUACAUUUAGAAAUUUUUUGAAAAGGCUCUAAAUUUGCAAUCGAUUUCUUGCCAAUUGCUAUUAGAAAUCAAUUGUAGAUCG
RNAcentral lists this unclassified non-coding RNA (241 nucleotides) under Hevea brasiliensis (rubber tree). The record is from RNAcentral. Lineage: Eukaryota; Viridiplantae; Streptophyta; Magnoliopsida; Malpighiales; Euphorbiaceae.